UGGGGAAUAUUGGACAAUGGGCGGAAGCCUGAUCCAGCAACGCCGCGUGAGGGAUGACGGCCUUCGGGUUGUAAACCUCUUUCAGUACCGACGAAGCGAAAGUGACGGUAGGUACAGAAGAAGCACCGGCCAACUACGUGCCAGCAGCCGCGGUAAUACGUAGGGUGCGAGCGUUGUCCGGAAUUAUUGGGCGUAAAGGGCUCGUAGGCGGUUUGUCGCGUCGGGAGUGAAAACACUGGGCUUAACUCAGUGCUUGCUUCCGAUACGGGCAGACUAGAGGUAUGCAGGGGAGAACGGAAUUCCUGGUGUAGCGGUGAAAUGCGCAGAUAUCAGGAGGAACACCGGUGGCGAAGGCGGUUCUCUGGGCAUUACCUGACGCUGAGGAGCGAAAGUGUGGGGAGCGAACAGG
RNAcentral lists this ribosomal RNA (409 nucleotides) under Bacillota bacterium. RNAcentral's name for it is "Firmicutes bacterium partial 16S ribosomal RNA". It matches the Rfam family "Bacterial small subunit ribosomal RNA", at positions 355 to 776 of the family's 1533-position model. Lineage: Bacteria; Bacillati; Bacillota. The record is from RNAcentral.